Molecule: long non-coding RNA, 802 nt
Organism: Acipenser ruthenus (sterlet)
Lineage: Eukaryota; Metazoa; Chordata; Actinopteri; Acipenseriformes; Acipenseridae
Exons: 2
Source: RefSeq, a predicted model, not a curated record
ACAGAGAGAGGAGAGAAAGGGUGAGAAAAUAGAGAGGAGAGAGGAGAGGAAACAGAGAGGAGAGAAAACAGAGAGAGGAGAGAAAGGGUGAGAAAACAGAGAGGAGAGAGGAGAGGAAACAGAGAGAGGAGAGGAAACAGAGAGGAGAGAAAACAGAGAGAGGAGAGAAGACUGAGAGAGGAGAGAAAACAGAGAGAGGAGAGAAGACUGAGAGAGGAGAGAAAGGGUCUGAGAGCUCUGGGACAAACUGGCUGCAAGCUCUGAAAUUCAAGAAAAAAACCCCGAAAUGAGAGAGACAGAGAGAGAGACAGAGAGAGAGAGAGACAGAGAGAGAGAGACUGAGAGAGACUCUGUGUGACCCCCCCUCCAAUCCAAGUGGAAGAGACUCCCUGUGACCAAGACAUCCUGUCACAAAACUAGAGAGGGGAGGGAGGCGGGACGUUAUACAGGACUGGGAAUGAGACUCCCGCUGCACAGGAGUGUGAUCCAGUCCUGGUUUCACUGGGAGUUUAAUAAUAAGACACACCUGAGCUUGUUAGCUAGACACACUGGGGCUGAUCAAGCUGGUAGUAAAACCUGGACUGGGUGACGCUGCUGUGCAACAGGAGUCUGAUCCCAUUGUGUGUAUAUGAGUGUUUGUUGUAGGGAAAUAUUCUAGUAAUAAUAAUAAUAAUAAUAUAUAUAUAUAUGUGACGUUGUUACUAUUCUGAUUAUUAAAAUUACCACACCCAUGUUAAUCACUGUUUCUGUAAUUGCUAAAGACAGCUCUGAUUGUGAAUAAAACUAUUUUGGAAAAAUUGAA